GAUGAACGCUGGCGGCGUGCUUAACACAUGCAAGUCGAACGGGAAACCUUUUAUUGAAGCUUCGGCAGAUUUAGCUGGUUUCUAGUGGCGGACGGGUGAGUAACGCGUGGGUAACCUGCCCUAUACAGGGGGAUAACAACCAGAAAUGAUUGCUAAUACCGCAUAAGCGCACAGGACCGCAUGGUCCGGUGUGAAAAACUCCGGUGGUAUAGGAUGGACCCGCGUUGGAUUAGCUUGUUGGUGGGGUAACGGCCCACCAAGGCGACGAUCCAUAGCCGGCCUGAGAGGGUGAACGGCCACAUUGGGACUGAGACACGGCCCAGACUCCUACGGGAGGCAGCAGUGGGGAAUAUUGCACAAUGGGGGAAACCCUGAUGCAGCGACGCCGCGUGAAGGAAGAAGUAUCUCGGUAUGUAAACUUCUAUCAGCAGGGAAGAUAGUGACGGU
RNAcentral lists this ribosomal RNA (447 nucleotides) under uncultured bacterium. RNAcentral's name for it is "bacterial SSU rRNA". It matches the Rfam family "Bacterial small subunit ribosomal RNA", at positions 28 to 458 of the family's 1533-position model. The record is from RNAcentral.